This 433-nucleotide ribosomal RNA is filed under the name uncultured bacterium. Its description in RNAcentral is "partial 16S ribosomal RNA". It matches the Rfam family "Bacterial small subunit ribosomal RNA", at positions 29 to 507 of the family's 1533-position model. The record is from RNAcentral.
AACGAACGCUGGCGGCAUGCCUAACACAUGCAAGUCGAACGAGACCUUCGGGUCUAGUGGCGCACGGGUGCGUAACGCGUGGGAACCUGCCCUUAGGUUCGGAAUAACUCCACGACAGGGGUGCUAAUACCGGAUAAUGUCUUCGGACCAAAGAUUUAUUGCCUUUGGAUGGGCCCGCGUUGGAUUAGCUAGUUGGUAGGGUAAAAGCCUACCAAGGCGACGAUCCAUAGCUGGUCAGAGAGGAUGAUCAGCCACACUGGGACUGAGACACGGCCCAGACUCCUACGGGAGGCAGCAGUGGGGAAUAUUGGACAAUGGGCGAAAGCCUGAUCCAGCAAUGCCGCGUGAGUGAUGAAGGCCUUAGGGUUGUAAAGCUCUUUUACCCGGGAUGAUAAUGACAGUACCGGGAGAAUAAGCUCCGGCUAACUCCGUG